Molecule: ribosomal RNA, 468 nt
Filed under: uncultured bacterium
Lineage: Bacteria
Description: partial 16S ribosomal RNA
Rfam family: Bacterial small subunit ribosomal RNA
Source: RNAcentral
GACGAACGCUGGCGGCGUGCUUAACACAUGCAAGUCGAACGGAAAGGCCCUGCUUUUGUGGGGUGCUCGAGUGGCGAACGGGUGAGUAACACGUGAGUAACCUGCCCUUGACUUUGGGAUAACUUCAGGAAACUGGGGCUAAUACCGGAUAGGAGCUCCUGCUGCAUGGUGGGGGUUGGAAAGUUUCGGCGGUUGGGGAUGGACUCGCGGCUUAUCAGCUUGUUGGUGGGGUAGUGGCUUACCAAGGCUUUGACGGGUAGCCGGCCUGAGAGGGUGACCGGCCACAUUGGGACUGAGAUACGGCCCAGACUCCUACGGGAGGCAGCAGUGGGGGAUAUUGCACGAUGGGCGGAAGCCUGAUGCAGCAACGCCGCGUGCGGGAUGACGGCCUUCGGGUUGUAAACCGCUUUCGCCUGUGACGAAGCGUGAGUGACGGUAAUGGGUAAAGAAGCACCGGCUAACUACGUG